RNAcentral lists this unclassified non-coding RNA (228 nucleotides) under Distichochlamys citrea. The record is from RNAcentral. Lineage: Eukaryota; Viridiplantae; Streptophyta; Magnoliopsida; Zingiberales; Zingiberaceae.
CAUCGUCGCCUUUGCUCCAUGCGUUGUUGCUGGUGCCGAGUGCGGAAAUUGGCCCCGUGUGCCCUCGGGCAUAGUCGGUCGAAGAGUGGGAAGUCGACAAUCGUCGGGCACGAUGGGUGUUGGUCGCCGUGAGCGGGAACAGAACGUCGUCCUCGUCGUUUGGAGAUGAGUUCUCAAGAGACCCUGUGUGUUUGUGGCAUCGGGCGAAAGUGCCGUGUCCAUCAACUU